AAGUCGUACGCUUCUUUUUCCACCGGAGCUUGCUCCACCGGAAAAAGAAGAGUGGCGAACGGGUGAGUAACACGUGGGUAACCUGCCCAUCAGAAGGGGAUAACACUUGGAAACAGGUGCUAAUACCGUAUAACAAUCGAAACCGCAUGGUUUUGAUUUGAAAGGCGCUUUCGGGUGUCGCUGAUGGAUGGACCCGCGGUGCAUUAGCUAGUUGGUGAGGUAACGGCUCACCAAGGCCACGAUGCAUAGCCGACCUGAGAGGGUGAUCGGCCACAUUGGGACUGAGACACGGCCCAAACUCCUACGGGAGGCAGCAGUAGGGAAUCUUCGGCAAUGGACGAAAGUCUGACCGAGCAACGCCGCGUGAGUGAAGAAGGUUUUCGGAUCGUAAAACUCUGUUGUUAGAGAAGAACAAGGAUGAGAGUAACUGUUCAUCCCUUGACGGUAUCUAACCAGAAAGCCACGGCUAACUACGUGCCAGCAGCCGCGGUAAUACGUAGGUGGCAAGCGUUGUCCGGAUUUAUUGGGCGUAAAGCGAGCGCAGGCGGUUUCUUAAGUCUGAUGUGAAAGCCCCCGGCUCAACCGGGGAGGGUCAUUGGAAACUGGGAGACUUGAGUGCAGAAGAGGAGAGUGGAAUUCCAUGUGUAGCGGUGAAAUGCGUAGAUAUAUGGAGGAACACCAGUGGCGAAGGCGGCUCUCUGGUCUGUAACUGACGCUGAGGCUCGAAAGCGUGGGGAGCAAACAGGAUUAGAUACCCUGGUAGUCCACGCCGUAAACGAUGAGUGCUAAGUGUUGGGAGGGUUUCCGCCCUUCAGUGCUGCAGCUAACGCAUUAAGCACUCCGCCUGGGGAGUACGACCGCAAGGUUGAAACUCAAAGGAAUUGACGGGGGCCCGCACAAGCGGUGGAGCAUGUGGUUUAAUUCGAAGC
RNAcentral lists this ribosomal RNA (929 nucleotides) under Enterococcus durans. Its description in RNAcentral is "bacterial SSU rRNA". It matches the Rfam family "Bacterial small subunit ribosomal RNA", at positions 59 to 957 of the family's 1533-position model. Lineage: Bacteria; Bacillati; Bacillota; Bacilli; Lactobacillales; Enterococcaceae. The record is from RNAcentral.